This 194-nucleotide non-coding RNA is filed under the name Spirochaetota bacterium. The record is from RNAcentral. Lineage: Bacteria; Pseudomonadati; Spirochaetota.
UAUCACUAGCGUACCGUAUGGUACAACUACACCAUAUAUUGUGUAUGCAGGACAGGGAAGUUGGGUGUAUAUGCCCACGCGGUCCCGCCGCUGUGAAGGUGAGGAGCUGCCGAGAUACCACUGGAAGAAUCCGGGAAGGUGGCAGUAUUCCGAGGAACCUGAGCCAGAAGACCUCCCUGCAUAGACACGCCGCC